AUUGAACGCUGGCGGCAGGCCUAACACAUGCAAGUCGAGCGGAUGAAGGGAGCUUGCUCCUGGAUUCAGCGGCGGACGGGUGAGUAAUGCCUAGGAAUCUGCCUGGUAGUGGGGGAUAACGUCCGGAAACGGGCGCUAAUACCGCAUACGUCCUGAGGGAGAAAGUGGGGGAUCUUCGGACCUCACGCUAUCAGAUGAGCCUAGGUCGGAUUAGCUAGUUGGUGGGGUAAAGGCCUACCAAGGCGACGAUCCGUAACUGGUCUGAGGGGAUGAUCAGUCACACUGGAACUGAGACACGGUCCAGACUCCUACGGGAGGCAGCAGUGGGGAAUAUUGGACAAUGGGCGAAAGCCUGAUCCAGCCAUGCCGCGUGUGUGAAGAAGGUCUUCGGAUUGUAAAGCACUUUAAGUUGGGAGGAAGGGCAGUAAGUUAAUACCUUGCUGUUUUGACGUUACCAACAGAAUAAGCACCGGCUAACUUCGCG
RNAcentral lists this ribosomal RNA (484 nucleotides) under uncultured bacterium. RNAcentral's name for it is "partial 16S ribosomal RNA". It matches the Rfam family "Bacterial small subunit ribosomal RNA", at positions 30 to 507 of the family's 1533-position model. The record is from RNAcentral.